RNAcentral lists this transfer RNA (73 nucleotides) under Nematostella vectensis (starlet sea anemone). It matches the Rfam family "tRNA". Rfam says of the family: Transfer RNA (tRNA) molecules are approximately 80 nucleotides in length. Lineage: Eukaryota; Metazoa; Cnidaria; Anthozoa; Actiniaria; Edwardsiidae. The record is from Rfam by way of RNAcentral.
GUUUCCGUAGUGUAGUGGUUAUCACGUCUGCCUAACACGCAGAAUGUCCCCAGUUCGAGCCUGGGCUGAAAUA